GACGAACGCUGGCGGCGUGCUUAACACAUGCAAGUCGAACGGAAAGGCCCUGCUUUCGUGGGGUGCUCGAGUGGCGCACGGGUGAGUAACCCGUGUGUAACCUGCCUUUGACUUUGGGACAACUUCAGGAAACUGGGGCUACUACCUGCUUGGAGCUCCUGCUGCAUGGUGGGGUUUGGACAGUUUCGGCGGUUGGGGAUGGACUCGCGGCUUAUUAGCUUGUUGGUGGGGUAGUGGCUUACCAAGGCUUUGACGGGUAGCCGGCCUGAGAGGGUGACCGGGCACAUUGGGACUAAGGUACGGCCCAGACGCCUACGGGAGGCAGCAGUGGGGAAUAUUGCACAAUGGGCGGAAGCCUGAUGCAGCAACGCCGCGUGCGGGAUGACGGCCUUCGGGUUGUAAACCGCUUUCGCCUGUGACGAAGCGUGAGUGACGGUAAUGGGUAAAGAAGCACCGGCUAACUACGUG
RNAcentral lists this ribosomal RNA (468 nucleotides) under uncultured bacterium. RNAcentral's name for it is "partial 16S ribosomal RNA". It matches the Rfam family "Bacterial small subunit ribosomal RNA", at positions 28 to 507 of the family's 1533-position model. The record is from RNAcentral.